RNAcentral lists this long non-coding RNA (265 nucleotides) under Manihot esculenta (cassava). RNAcentral describes it as "long non-coding RNA (MESC_LNC012506)". The record is from RNAcentral. Lineage: Eukaryota; Viridiplantae; Streptophyta; Magnoliopsida; Malpighiales; Euphorbiaceae.
AUGUAGCUGCCUUCAUAACUCCCUUUCAUCUUUUUGUCAUUUCUCAUUUCUUGAAUCCUAUCUGUCUUUUUCCCUUUCUGGCCUUUCCUUGCCUCUCAUAUACUCUGCUCUUUUUACUUUCCUGUCAUUAUCGCCUGGACAUGCCUCUUUUUUCCUUUUCCAUGAAUAUCUUUUAAAGAUCCUGACAUCGUGGGCUCAAAAUCUAGAGUUACUUUACUUUGUGCUAAGACUUCAGAUUUUGAGUAUAUAUCAGCGUCAACUCCUC